This 450-nucleotide long non-coding RNA is filed under the name Nicotiana benthamiana. Its description in RNAcentral is "long non-coding RNA (NBEN_LNC026790)". Lineage: Eukaryota; Viridiplantae; Streptophyta; Magnoliopsida; Solanales; Solanaceae. The record is from RNAcentral.
CAUAUCGGUGUCUCUUUUGAGCGUUUGUUUGACGGUUUUUUUUGAGGAUUUAUCUGAGACCGACCGGUUGAUGAUGCUUCCGACUUUGAUCGGACAUGGUUCAGAGUGUUUUACACCAUGAUAUCCGGGUGUAUCUUCGUGACCUCAACGUUCUAAGAAUCUCUAUCGGUUUUGGGUGAUUUUGGUGAGUUAUCGGUAUCUAGGGUUUUCGAUGGUUUUGACUUGCUGUUUUACCACCGUUCGGUGGUCCAAUUCUCAUCUCGUGGAUGUUUGGGUACCUUUCCGACAUCGUUUCUCAUAUUUCCGGUGACCGACUCGACGUUUGAACCUAGGGUUUCAUACCUAGGGUUUUCACUGUCAUUUGAAGGCCGAUCUUCUUCCGGUAGCGAAGAAGAAGGGUAACUUUGUCUUAAAAUUCAAUAUUACGUGAUUUGUGUGUACUGAAUUGGU